GGGUGAUUAGCUCAGCUGGGAGAGCACCUCCCUAACAAGGAGGGGGUCGGCGGUUCGAUCCCGUCAUCACCCACCA
Molecule: transfer RNA, 76 nt
Filed under: Citrobacter freundii
Lineage: Bacteria; Pseudomonadati; Pseudomonadota; Gammaproteobacteria; Enterobacterales; Enterobacteriaceae
Also listed under: 2 other names
Description: tRNA-Val
Rfam family: tRNA
About the family: Transfer RNA (tRNA) molecules are approximately 80 nucleotides in length. Their secondary structure includes four short double-helical elements and three loops (D, anti-codon, and T loops).
Source: RNAcentral